ACGCUCGACACCUACGAGAGGCAGCAGUGAGGGAUAUUGCACAAUGGGGGGAACCCUGAUGCAGCGACGCCGCGUGAGGGAAGAAGGUUUUCGGAUUGUAAACCUCUGUCCUCAGUGAAGAAGAUGACGGUAACUGAGGAGGAAGCCACGGCUAACUACGUACCAGCAGCCGCGGUAAUCUGAGCGGGCUGGCAAGGC
RNAcentral lists this ribosomal RNA (198 nucleotides) under uncultured bacterium. RNAcentral describes it as "partial 16S ribosomal RNA". It matches the Rfam family "Bacterial small subunit ribosomal RNA", at positions 328 to 539 of the family's 1533-position model. The record is from RNAcentral.